CUUCCGCAAUGCGCGCAAGCGUGACGGGGGUAGCCCGAGUGCCUCUCGAAAGGGAGGCUUUUCCCAAGGUUGAUGCCCUUGGGGAAUAAGUGGUGGGUAAAUCUCGUGCCAGCCGCCGCGGUAAUACGAGUAGCACGAGUGGUGCCCACGAAUAUUGAGCCUAAAGCGCCCGUAGCCGGCUCUGCGCGUUCCCCGUGAAAUCUCUCCGCUCAACGGAGAGGCGCGCGGGGAAUACGGUCGGGCUCGGGAGUGGGGGAGGUCACAGGUACGCUAGGGGGAGCGGUAAAAUGCUGUAAUCCUUGGCGGACCACCGGUGGCGAAGGCGUGUGACCAAAACACGUCCGACGGUGAGGGGCGAAGGCCGAGGGAGCGAAAGGGAUUAGAUACCCCUGUAGUCUCGGCAGUAAAUUAUGCGGACUUGGCGUUGCAACUACUUCGUGUGGUUGCAGUGCCGGAGCGAAGGCGUUUAGUCCGCCGCUUGGGGAGUACGGCCGCAAGGCUGAAACUUAAAGGAAUUGGCGGGGGGGAGCACA
RNAcentral lists this ribosomal RNA (533 nucleotides) under uncultured euryarchaeote. RNAcentral describes it as "partial 16S ribosomal RNA". It matches the Rfam family "Archaeal small subunit ribosomal RNA", at positions 347 to 883 of the family's 1478-position model. Lineage: Archaea; Methanobacteriati; Methanobacteriota. The record is from RNAcentral.